This 519-nucleotide ribosomal RNA is filed under the name uncultured eukaryote. RNAcentral's name for it is "partial 18S ribosomal RNA". It matches the Rfam family "Eukaryotic small subunit ribosomal RNA", at positions 1162 to 1694 of the family's 1831-position model. The record is from RNAcentral.
GGGCACCACCAGGAGUGGAGCCUGCCGCUUAAUUUGACUCAACACGGAAAAACUCACCCGGCCAGGACAUUAGGAGGAUUGACAGACUGACUAUUUCUUUCUUAAUUCGGGGGGGGGUGGUGCCUGGCCGUACUUAGUGGGGGGAGCGAUUUGUCUGGUUAAUUCCAAUAACCAACGAGCCUCUUGCCUACUAAUCAACCAGCCCCCAGUCGAUGCCCCCGCCCAACAAGCUUCUUAAAGGGAGUGCCGCGAGCGAGGAUUGGAGAUUGAGAAUAACGGGCUCUGUGAUGCCCUUAGAUGUCCGGGGCCUGACGCUACGCUACACUGAAGUGAUCAUGCCGCUCAUCCGCCCCGCUCCGAGAGGAGCGUGGUGACCGUUUGAACCCCCUUCAUGAUAGGGAUUGAGCUUUGUAACUAUUGCUCAAGAACGAGGAAUUCCCAGUACGCGUGAGUCAUUACCUUACGUCUAUUACGUCCCUGCCCUUUGUACACACCGCCCGUCGCUACUACCGAUUGAAU